RNAcentral lists this ribosomal RNA (382 nucleotides) under uncultured eukaryote. Its description in RNAcentral is "partial 18S ribosomal RNA". It matches the Rfam family "Eukaryotic small subunit ribosomal RNA", at positions 592 to 976 of the family's 1831-position model. The record is from RNAcentral.
UGUAAGCGUAUACCAAAGUUGUUGCAGUUAAAACGCUCGUAGUCGGAAUUUGGCAGUUCCGGAUGUGUGCACGUCGUGUGCGCACUUCGCGGGGAUUGCUUUUGUGGUCUUGCGUAGGAUGAGGCACUUUUAUUAGUGAACGUCCUCACGCAACCACUUUUUACUGUGAGAAAAUCAGAGUGCUCAAAGCAGGCAUUUGCCGUGAAUGUAUUAGCAUGGAAUAAUAGAAUAGGACUUGGUUCUAUUUUGUUGGUUUGUUGGGACUGAGUAAUGAUUAAGAGAGACAGUUGGGGGCAUUUGUAUUUCGGUGCUAGAGGUGAAAUUCUUAGAUUACCGAAAGACAAACUGCUGCGAAAGCGUCUGCCAAGGAUGUUUUCAUUGA